GUUGGUCCAGGUCUGGCAAGCUGUGUUAAAGAUCAGCCUUUGAGGAGCAAACCCCCACCCCAGCUCAGCCUGCGAGAGUACAAUUAGCUCAUGAUACAAACCCACCACAGUCACACAAGUAGAGAUUCAUUAGACUGGCAAAAAGAGCUCCAAGCCUUUCUUCCUGGAAUGGCAUUUCCAUCAACGGAUCAUUUUUCUGGCACAACUAUGCCAGGACACACAUCCAUAGGCUUGGAAUUAUAUGCAAAGCUUUGGGAAUGGAGCUGUGGCCACAGAAGGUUGAGCAGCUGAUGAAGAACCAUGGCACCACAGAGAGCAACACUGGGAAUUGUGCAACACCUCUGGGACCUGCUCUGCUCCAGGGAACACUG
Molecule: non-coding RNA, 371 nt
Organism: Taeniopygia guttata (zebra finch)
Lineage: Eukaryota; Metazoa; Chordata; Aves; Passeriformes; Estrildidae
Source: RefSeq, a predicted model, not a curated record